Molecule: long non-coding RNA, 611 nt
Organism: Triticum aestivum (bread wheat)
Lineage: Eukaryota; Viridiplantae; Streptophyta; Magnoliopsida; Poales; Poaceae
Exons: 3
Source: RefSeq, a predicted model, not a curated record
UCUUCUUUGGUUCCUCCACACGAGAAUUCCAGCCUACCACCGCCUGCGGCGGCGGCCGCUAGGGCCAGGGCCUGAUGGCUAGGGUGUGUGCUGGACCCUGCGGCACGGCCGAGCAGGGUGGCCGGGAGCCGGCAGGAAGAGGCACCGUACCAGGCGUUUCUCCUCGGCCGCCGCCGCAUAGGCCGCUAUCGAUACCUCGCCGUUAUUUACCUUUGAUCUUCCGUUUCCCGAUCUGGUUCUUCAUCAUUUUGUGUUUUUGUUGGAUGAAUCUAGUCAUUGGGUGCUGUUGCUCGCAGGCUGCGGCCAUGGAAGAUCCCGGAGGAAGAUUGACGCCAGCGGAUGCCGAUCUUGUACAGAGCGAUCGAGGAUCCCGUCCCAGAGCGCUGACCUGACGGCCUACCCUGUCAGUAGCCUCGCUCAUGCGGGCGUUAUAGUUCGUCUCGCCCGUCUAUACCAUGGGAUCGGAGGCCAGGACGCCAAAUUUCCAAAUUUCCAAGCAUGGUGGCUGGACCGUGAUGUACGCGUUCCAGGUUUCACGUCACUUCUUCAUAGACCUGGUAGACGGGGAGUAGGAGGAGCAGGAGAUGUGGGUUUCGCAGUGGUGAUGGUUU